This 252-nucleotide ribosomal RNA is filed under the name uncultured bacterium. RNAcentral describes it as "partial 16S ribosomal RNA". It matches the Rfam family "Bacterial small subunit ribosomal RNA", at positions 524 to 776 of the family's 1533-position model. The record is from RNAcentral.
UACGUAAGGACCGAGCGUUGUCCGGAAUCAUUGGGCGUAAAGGGUACGUAGGUGGUUAGAAAAGUUAGAAGUGAAAUCCUAUAGCUCAACUAUAGUAAGCUUUUAAAACUGCUCAUCUUGAGGUAUGGAAGGGAAAGUGGAAUUCCUAGUGUAGCGGUGAAAUGCGCAGAUAUUAGGAGGAAUACCGGUGGCGAAGGCGACUUUCUGGCCUGUAACUGACGCUGAUGUGCGAAAGCGUGGGGAUCAAACAGG